Molecule: ribosomal RNA, 468 nt
Filed under: uncultured bacterium
Lineage: Bacteria
Description: partial 16S ribosomal RNA
Rfam family: Bacterial small subunit ribosomal RNA
Source: RNAcentral
GACGAACGCUGGCGGCGUGCUUAACACAUGCAAGUCGAACGGAAAGGCCCUGCUUUUGUGGGUUGCUCGAGUGGCGAACAGGUGAGUAACACGUGAGUAACCUGCCCUUGACUUUGUGAUAACUUCAGGAGACUGGGGCUAAUACCGGGUAGGAGCUCCUGCUGCAUGGUGGGGGUUGGAAAGUUUCGGCCGUUGGGGAUGGACUCGCGGCUUAUCAGCUUGUUGGUGUGGUAGUGGCUUACCAAGGCUUUGACGGGUAGCCGGCCUGAGAGGGUGACCGGGCACAUUGGGACUGAGAUACGGACCAGACUCGUACGGGAGGCAGCAGUGGGGAAUAUUGCACAAUGGGCGGAAGCCUGAUGCAGCAACGCCGCGUGCGGGAUGACGGCCUUCGGGUUGUAAACCGAUUUCGCCUGUGACGAAGCGUGAGUGACGGUAAUGGGUAAAGAAGCAACGGCUAACUACGUG